Molecule: ribosomal RNA, 236 nt
Filed under: uncultured bacterium
Lineage: Bacteria
Description: partial 16S ribosomal RNA
Rfam family: Bacterial small subunit ribosomal RNA
Source: RNAcentral
UACGGAGGGUGCAAGCGUUGUUCGGAAUUACUGGGCGUAAAGCGCACGUAGGCGGCUUUGUAAGUAAGAGGUGAAAGCCCAGAGCUCAACUCUGGAAUUGCCUUUUAGACUGCAUCGCUUGAAUCAUGGAGAGGUCAGUGGAAUUCCGAGUGUAGAGGUGAAAUUCGUAGAUAUUCGGAAGAAACACCCAGGUGCGAAGGCGGCUCUCUGGGACGGUACUGACGCUGAGACGCGAA